AUUGAACGCUAGCGGGAUGCUUUACACAUGCAAGUCGAACGAGUGGCGGACGGGUGAGUAAUGUAUCGGAACGUGCCCAGUGGCGGGGGAUAACUACUCGAAAGAGUGGCUAAUACCGCAUACUAUCGGAGCGGCCGAUAUGGGAUUAGCUAGUUGGUGGGGUAAAGGCUCACCAAGGCGACGAUCCGUAGCUGGUCUGAGAGGACGACCAUCCACACUGGGACUGAGACACGGUCCAGACUCCUACGGGAGGCAGCAGUGGGGAAUAUUGGACAAUGGGGGAAACCCUGAUCCAGCCAUCCCGCGUGUGUGAGAAGGCCUUCGGGUUGUAAAGUACUUUUGGCAGGGAAGCGGUAUCUGCAGAAUAAGCACCGGCUAACUACGUGCCAGCAGCCGCGGUAAUUC
RNAcentral lists this ribosomal RNA (405 nucleotides) under uncultured bacterium. RNAcentral describes it as "partial 16S ribosomal RNA". It matches the Rfam family "Bacterial small subunit ribosomal RNA", at positions 30 to 526 of the family's 1533-position model. The record is from RNAcentral.